UCGAGAGGUACCCCUGGGAGAUCUUCCGGAAAAACUUUAGAAAACUCAUUGAACACUCAAAUGGACUGAAUUAUUGGUGUCUCAGACUUAGUGUCUUUAACUCAAACUAGAUGGUAGAUACACCUUUUGGAAAUCCACUUUCUGGCUUUGAGAUAAGAAAUGAAAUAAUUCUUGGGAGACACUGAAUUACCUGAACACUCAGAGACUGGCUCACCUG
RNAcentral lists this long non-coding RNA (217 nucleotides) under Capsicum annuum. RNAcentral describes it as "long non-coding RNA (CANN_LNC016916)". The record is from RNAcentral. Lineage: Eukaryota; Viridiplantae; Streptophyta; Magnoliopsida; Solanales; Solanaceae.